Molecule: ribosomal RNA, 740 nt
Filed under: uncultured Hyphomicrobiales bacterium
Lineage: Bacteria; Pseudomonadati; Pseudomonadota; Alphaproteobacteria; Hyphomicrobiales
Description: bacterial SSU rRNA
Rfam family: Bacterial small subunit ribosomal RNA
Source: RNAcentral
AGAGUUUGAUCAUGGCUCAGAACGAACGCUGGCGGCAGGCUUAACACAUGCAAGUCGAACGCACCGCAAGGUGAGUGGCAGACGGGUGAGUAACGCGUGGGAACGUGCCCUUCAGUUCGGGAUAACCCAGGGAAACUUGGGCUAAUACCGGAUACGUGCGAGAGCAGAAAGAUUCAUCGCUGAAGGAUCGGCCCGCGUCUGAUUAGCUAGUUGGUAGGGUAAUGGCCUACCAAGGCGACGAUCAGUAGCUGGUCUGAGAGGAUGAUCAGCCACAUUGGGACUGAGACACGGCCCAAACUCCUACGGGAGGCAGCAGUGGGGAAUAUUGGACAAUGGGCGCAAGCCUGAUCCAGCCAUGCCGCGUGAGUGAUGAAGGCCUUAGGGUUGUAAAGCUCUUUCGUCCGGGACGAUAAUGACGGUACCGGAAGAAGAAGCCCCGGCUAACUUCGUGCCAGCAGCCGCGGUAAUACGAAGGGGGCUAGCGUUGUUCGGAAUCACUGGGCGUAAAGGGCGCGUAGGCGGCCUGAUAAGUCGGGGGUGAAAGCCUGUGGCUCAACCACAGAAUUGCCUUCGAUACUGUCGGGCUUGAGACCGGAAGAGGUAAGUGGAACUGCGAGUGUAGAGGUGAAAUUCGUAGAUAUUCGCAAGAACACCAGUGGCGAAGGCGGCUUACUGGUCCGGUUCUGACGCUGAGGCGCGAAAGCGUGGGGAGCAAACAGGAUUAGAUACCCCAGUAGUCC